AGAACAUUGCCCAAAGCAUCAUUGUGCCUGUGCUGGCUUGCAUUCUCCCCAUUGUGAAUCCUGCUGUCAGGUGUUCCCCUAGGUAAGAGAUGCACAUGGACCUGGUCAUCCACUUGAUGUUUCCCAGUGCUCUGUGGUCCAGUUUUGAUGCUCACUGUCAUGGUCCGGUUCCUGGACUCACUUUGACUUAAGCUUGAAGCUUAAGCUUCUCUCUUGGACUCAGGAUACCUUACCCCCAUCUUGGAUAUCACUCUGUGCCCUCCUCCCACCUCACACCAUCAGGAACCUCCAAAUGUCAG
Long non-coding RNA from Oreochromis aureus, 299 nucleotides. The record is from Ensembl. NCBI's taxonomy places the organism in Eukaryota, Metazoa, Chordata, Actinopteri, Cichliformes, Cichlidae.